RNAcentral lists this small RNA (575 nucleotides) under Pongo abelii (Sumatran orangutan). RNAcentral's name for it is "processed transcript". The record is from RNAcentral. Lineage: Eukaryota; Metazoa; Chordata; Mammalia; Primates; Hominidae.
GUCAUGAGAAGUUGUGCAAGGAGGAAGGAGGGAAUGAUGGUGGUCCAUCCUGCUGACCAUGCCAGCUCUGGAAUCGGAGCUCAGGGCCCAAACCUUUGGAUGAUGUUGCAUCAGGCAGGGACCCUGCCGCCAGCCUGUGCUGGCAGGACACAGCAGAGACACAGAGCCUGAAGACAGAAGGCAGCCCUUCCCAGGUGCGUCUCCACGACAGCAUCUCCGAGGAGGGCUUCCACUACCUGGUCUUCGAUCUGGUCACUGGUGGGGAGCUCUUUGAAGACAUUGUGGCGAGAGAGUACUACAGCGAGGCUGAUGCCAGUCACUGCAUCCAGCAGAUCCUGGAGGCUGUUCUCCAUUGUCACCAAAUGGGGGUCGUCCACAGAGACCUCAAGCCGGAGAACCUGCUCCUGGCCAGCAAGUGCAAAGGGGCUGCAGUGAAGCUGGCAGACUUCGGCCUGGCUAUCGAGGUGCAGGGGGACCAGCAGGCAUGGUUUGGGUUCGCUGGCACACCAGGCUACCUGUCCCCUGAGGUCCUUCGUAAAGAGGCGUAUGGCAAGCCCGUGGACAUUUGGGCAUGU